CAGCCGCCGCGGGAAUACGAAGGGGGCUAGCGUUGUUCGGAAUUACUGGGCGUAAAGCGCACGUAGGCGGAUAUUUAAGUCAGGGGUGAAAUCCCAGAGCUCAACUCUGGAACUGCCUUUGAUACUGGGUAUCUUGAGUAUGGAAGAGGUGAGUGGAAUUCCGAGUGUAGAGGUGAGAUUCGUAGAUAUUCGGAGGAACACCAGUGGCGAAGGCGGCUCACUGGUCCAUUACUGACGCUGAGGUGCGAAAGCGUGGGGAGCAAACAGGAUUAGAUACCCGCGUAGUCCCUGUCUCUUAUAC
This 301-nucleotide ribosomal RNA is filed under the name uncultured bacterium. Its description in RNAcentral is "partial 16S ribosomal RNA". It matches the Rfam family "Bacterial small subunit ribosomal RNA", at positions 509 to 807 of the family's 1533-position model. The record is from RNAcentral.